Molecule: ribosomal RNA, 380 nt
Filed under: uncultured eukaryote
Lineage: Eukaryota
Description: partial 18S ribosomal RNA
Rfam family: Eukaryotic small subunit ribosomal RNA
Source: RNAcentral
CAAUAGCGUAUAUUAAAGUUGUUGCGGUUAAAAAGCUCGUAGUUGGAUUUCUGCUUUGGACGACCGGUCCGCCCUGUGGGUUGGCAUCUGGAUCGGCCUGGGCAUCUUCUUGGGGAACGUAGCUGCACUUGACUGUGUGGUGCGGUAUCCAGGACUUUUACCUUGAGGAAAUUAGAGUGUUUCAAGCAGGCGCACGCCUUGAAUACAUUAGCAUGGAAUAAUAAGAUAGGACCUCGGUUCUAUUUUGUUGGUUUGUUGGGACUGAGUAAUGAUUAAGAGGGACAGUUGGGGGCAUUUGUAUUUCGGCGCUAGAGGUGAAAUUCUUAGAUUGCCGAAAGACGAACUGCUGCGAAAGCGUCUGCCAAGGAUGUUUUCAUUGA